Molecule: long non-coding RNA, 1637 nt
Organism: Biomphalaria glabrata
Lineage: Eukaryota; Metazoa; Mollusca; Gastropoda; Planorbidae
Exons: 2
Source: RefSeq, a predicted model, not a curated record
UAGAAUGAUCUAAAAAAAUUUUUUCAAUGACUAUUGUAAUGACACAAGAUGCGUAGAAGUUGAUGUGAAUCGGGUUUUUCCUAAGUAAUGUGACGAGUAAGAACAGAGUAGGAUUAUGAACAAGAAGAAUAACGGACAAGACGCCUAAGAGGACGACGCUAGGCUAGCGACGACAGAGGACUGUGCCCUUUUUAUUGUUUAUUAAAUUGUUGAAGUUAUCAGCCUGCGUUAUUAAGUAUAUUCUUGAUUCAUUCUGUUGUUGUGUCAUAUGGACUCGCAUGCACCAGUAACAUAUAUAUACUCAUCAACAAAAUAGACCAUCAACAGAUGUGGCGACCCCGACGGCCAGGGCGUCAUUUUGAUCUACAAUCUAGUUAACUUCGUGUUCUGGAUAUAUCUAUCUACAAUUCUACACUUGGCGAAGUACACUGAAGAAGUACUGGAUUAACAUUCGUUUAUUUCUACUAGAUCUACCCUACGUCUGUGCUAAUUAUCUGGACUGCAGCUGGAUUUUGGCAUCUUUGUUCCAGUGGAUCUAGACUUUCUAUUAGAGAAAAUUCGAAACCGUUACCAGCGUCUAGCUUUGUCAGCCAGGUUAGAUAUUUUUAGAUUGAACCUGGAUCUAUAUAUAGAUCUAUAUUGACUAUAUCUAUUGUGUCUGAAUCCAGAACUAUUUCGUCCGUGUAAGUGAUCUAGGGCAGUCCGUCGUCAGUAUACCUCUAUCUAAAUAUAUAUACCUCAAGACUACUCAAGAGUGAAGAUACCUCAUUUUGUCAGGUUUAUCUGUUUAUUGUGAGUACGGAAAGUCAUCUGAGUCUACAUAUCUAGUAUCUACAAGCUGACCGUUGGAUCGAGUCACCUUGUCAGGAAAAGUUUGGUGUGAUGUGAGGCGACCAGCCAUGAACAUAUAGCCAAUGACAGUAUUUACUCUGAAAAACUCUGAUUUAUGCCUAUGGAGUCAGCAAAGGUAUCUUCGUAUGUGGACUAUAUACAUGUGUAUUUACUCUGAAAAACUGUUUUAUGUCUGUGGAAUCGACAAAGGCAUCGUCGUAUGGGGACUGUAUACAUGUCUUGAUGGACUUAGUACUAUUGGUUGGUGAAACUAUUACACUGUACUAUACUAUUUCAUCGUCAAUGACAUGAGUGAUGAUUAGAACACUAUAUACCGGAUAUUUUCUUACCAAUAACUGUAUUGGAACUGUAUUGUUUUCUUGGUGUCAACAUUCAACUACAGUGUGAACUUUGUGACAUAGGAACAUGGACAAUUUUACCAGGGAACUGAUGAAGAUGGGAAACAUUAUGAUGUCCAUCAAGAUCAAGAUAUAUGUUUGUUUUGUCUUUCCCCAAAAUUUUGGCCAUAUAUAUUGUACAGACAUGACAGUAGGGAUAGUGUUUUAGACUGAAAAAAAAAAUUGACAAAAUUUUUUUUUUUUGAUAAAGGGGGGAGGAAAUAUGUAAUGACACAAGAUGCGUAGAAGUUGAUGUGAAUCGGGUUUUUCCUAAGUAAUGUGACGAGUAAGAACAGAGUAGGAUUAUGAACAAGAAGAAUAACGGACAAGACGCCUAAGAGGACGACGCUAGGCUAGCGACGACAGAGGACUGUGCCCUUUUUAUUGUUUAUUAAAUUGUUGAAGUUA